GCUUAACGCGAAGAACCUUACCUAGGCUUGAACUCCUACGAAUCCGGGGUAAUGCCUGGAGUGUCCGCAAGGAAAUGUAGUGAGAGGUGCUGCAUGGCUGUCGUCAGCUCGUGUUGUGAAAUGUUGGGUUAAGUCUCGCAACGAGCGCAACCCCUACUCGUCUGUUGCCACGCAUUAAGUUGGGUCGACUCUGACGAGACUGCCUGGGUUAACCGAGGAGGAAGGUGGGGAUGACGUCAAGUCCUCAUGGCCCUUAUGUCUAGGGCUACACACGUAAUACAAUGGCGCGUACAAAGGGAAGCGAACUCGCAAGGGGGAAGCGAAAUCUACAAAAGGCGCGCCUCAGUUCGGAUUGGAGUCUGCAACUCGACUCCAUGAAGUUGGAAUCGCUAGUAAUCGGAGAUC
This 405-nucleotide ribosomal RNA is filed under the name uncultured bacterium. Its description in RNAcentral is "bacterial SSU rRNA". It matches the Rfam family "Bacterial small subunit ribosomal RNA", at positions 954 to 1350 of the family's 1533-position model. The record is from RNAcentral.